GACGAACGCUGGCGGCGCGCCUAACACAUGCAAGUCGAACGGGGACUGUCCGGAGCUUGCUUCGGACGGUUUCAGUGGCGGACGGGUGAGUAACGCGUGAGGAACCUGCCUUUCAGAGGGGGAUAACGUCCGGAAACGGACGCUAAUACCGCAUGACAUCCCGGGAUCACAUGGUUUUGGGAUCAAAGGAGCAAUCCGCUGGAAGAUGGACUCGCGUCCGAUUAGCCGGUUGGUGAGGUAACGGCCCACCAAAGCUGCGAUCGGUAGCCGGACUGAGAGGUUGAACGGCCACAUUGGGACUGAGACACGGCCCAGACUCCUACGGGAGGCAGCAGUGGGGGAUCUUGCACAAUGGAGGGAACUCUGAUGCAGCAACGCCGCGUGAGGGAAGACGGUCUUCGGAUUGUAAACCUUUGUCCCUGGUGACGAUAAUGACGGUAGCCAGGGAGGAAGCUCCGGCUA
RNAcentral lists this ribosomal RNA (462 nucleotides) under uncultured bacterium. RNAcentral describes it as "bacterial SSU rRNA". It matches the Rfam family "Bacterial small subunit ribosomal RNA", at positions 28 to 499 of the family's 1533-position model. The record is from RNAcentral.